GAUGAACGCUGGCGGCGUGCCUAAUACAUGCAAGUCGAGCGAACAGACGAGGAGCUUGCUCCUCUGACGUUAGCGGCGGACGGGUGAGUAACACGUGGAUAACCUACCUAUAAGACUGGGAUAACUUCGGGAAACCGGAGCUAAUACCGGAUAAUAUAUUGAACCGCAUGGUUCAAUAGUUAAAGACGGUUUUGCUGUCACUUAUAGAUGGAUCCGCGCCGGAUUAGCUAGUUGGUAAGGUAACGGCUUACCAAGGCAACGAUGCGUAGCCGACCUGAGAGGGUGAUCGGCCACACUGGAACUGAGACACGGUCCAGACUCCUACGGGAGGCAGCAGUAGGGAAUCUUCCGCAAUGGGCGAAAGCUUGACGGAGCAACGCCGCGUGAGUGAUGAAGGUCUUCGGAUCGUAAAACUCUGUUAUUAGGGAAGAACAAAUGUGUAAGUAACUAUGCACGUCUUGACGGUACCCAAUCAGAAAGCCACGGCUAACUACGUG
RNAcentral lists this ribosomal RNA (497 nucleotides) under uncultured bacterium. Its description in RNAcentral is "partial 16S ribosomal RNA". It matches the Rfam family "Bacterial small subunit ribosomal RNA", at positions 28 to 507 of the family's 1533-position model. The record is from RNAcentral.